Non-coding RNA from Aegilops tauschii subsp. strangulata, 1218 nucleotides. The record is from RefSeq and is a predicted model, not a curated record. NCBI's taxonomy places the organism in Eukaryota, Viridiplantae, Streptophyta, Magnoliopsida, Poales, Poaceae.
CUAUCUCUCCUCCUCACACAUCCUCUCUCCUCGUCACCUCUGGCCGGAGGAGAACACUGCGGCGGCAUCUCCUGGCGAUGGCAGUGGGGGCGGGUGAGGCUGCAAGGCGACGAGCCAAGGCGGCAGAGGAUCCGGUUCGUAUGCUGUUGUUGCUGCCGAUGGACGGAUGAGGCGCUCUCAGAUCACUCCCCACGGGCCUCCUUCGUCUUCCAAGUCCCAACCAUGGCCGGCUCCAACCCCUCCUCUGUUAUUGUUGUGCUCCUGUAGGAGAAGAAGAAGAAUAGGCAUGAUCUCUGUAUACAUCCAGUGUAUUUGGUUGGAUUACUUUCGUUCUCUGAGAAAUUUGGUGAGUCCAAGAUUUAAUUUCCUUGUUGAAUAGACAACAUAUAGGAUGAGAAUGUGUAUGUUUGCUGAUUUUGGUGGUUUGGACAUGGAUUUGACGGCAGAGAAGGGACACAGGAAGAGUAUUUCGUGGAGGGAUGUGUCCAACACUAUUGUAUGAAUUAAAUACACACUACCUGUUUGAUGAAAUGCAAGUAUAAUUCUCGUUAUACUUUGGUUUCACAAUCUUUCUGUUGUUUUUCUUCAUGUAGCAUCAUUUUUUAUUGCAGGCAUUGAUAUAUUUCUAUUUGUGCUCAUGCUAGGCAAUAUGAAGUCUUUAGUCUACACAUUAUCUGAUUUUUAGCUGCUCAUUAUCCCAUCAUUUUUUUAUUGCAGGCAUUGAAAAAUAAAAGAAAUAAGAGACCCACGGCCUGUACUUAAGGUCUAGGAUCUGCUAGGUUGGUGGAUCUGCGAGCUUGCGGUUCCUGUUGUUGAUCAACCGCUGCUUCGGUUCGGUGGAGGUUUAAUCAACCAAGUGAGUGCAGUUGCAAACCAGCUGUGCGGCUUAUAGGAGCACUUGCGCCAUCUUUGUAAUGGCAAACACCAUUCCCUUGAUUGUUGAUUAGUCAUCUUCUCCUCAUGAUAUGAUACUGGAAGGAUGUCAUGAUGGAACGGUAUCUUUUUUGCAUGUUGCUUUAUGGAGGUCUCCACAAACUUGCCGUCAGAAGACAUUUUAAUGGUUUGUUAUCUCCCUUUCCAUAGUUUUCUAUCACUUAUGCCAUUCAGAUGACAUGUCUGACUCAGGAACUGCUUACUUUCACAUGCUAAAGAGCAAACAGUUGGAUUUCCUGUACUGCAUAUCUGUUAUUUUUUUUUGUUUGUGUGUUAUAUUAACUA